This 617-nucleotide long non-coding RNA is filed under the name Carica papaya (papaya). RNAcentral's name for it is "long non-coding RNA (CPAP_LNC012272)". The record is from RNAcentral. Lineage: Eukaryota; Viridiplantae; Streptophyta; Magnoliopsida; Brassicales; Caricaceae.
CGUCUCAAGGUCAGCAAGACUCCGCGGCAGAAGACCUUUACUAUCUCGAUGGAGAAAGGAGAAGAAAUCACCGAUUUCUUCGAAGGUAUUCAGUUAAAAUGGAAAUAUAUUCACGAAGAGCCACGCGAAAAUCACGGCUCUGCAAAAAAAUACUUCGAGCUCUGCUUUAGUAAGAAGUUUAAAGACAAAGUAAUGGAAGUUUACUUGCCUUACGUCAUCGCCCAAGCAGAGAAGAUCAAGAAUGAGAGGAAGGUGGUGAAGUUGUACAAUCGGGAAUGUCCGUACUACGACGAGGAGGAAGCAUGUGGUUCGGGCAUGUGGGGUUUUGUCAAUCUCGAGCAUCCUGCAACUUUCGAUACGUUGGCCAUGGACGAGGAUCUGAAGAAGAUGAUUAUUGACGAUUUGAAUAGGUUUAUAAGGAGAAAAGAGUUUUAUAAGAGAGUUGGGAAAGCUUGGAAACGUGGUUAUUUAUUGUACGGACCUCCUGGUACGGGUAAAUCAAGUUUGAUCGCCGCCAUGGCUAAUUACCUCAAGUUUGAUAUAUACGAUUUGGAGCUUACAAGCGUUUCUUCUAACUCUGAGUUGCGGAGGAUUUUGCUUUCCACCACAAACAAAUC